RNAcentral lists this ribosomal RNA (492 nucleotides) under uncultured bacterium. RNAcentral's name for it is "partial 16S ribosomal RNA". It matches the Rfam family "Bacterial small subunit ribosomal RNA", at positions 28 to 507 of the family's 1533-position model. The record is from RNAcentral.
GAUGAACGCUAGCUACAGGCUUAACACAUGCAAGUCGAGGGGAAACGACAUCGAAAGCUUGCUUUUGAUGGGCGUCGACCGGCGCACGGGAGAGUAACGCGUAUCCAACCUGCCCAUCACUUGGGAAUAACCUUGCGAAAGUAAGACUAAUACCCAAUGACAUCCCACGAAGACAUCUGAAUGGGAUUAAAGAUUUAUCGGUGAUGGAUGGGGAUGCGUCUGAUUAGCUUGUUGGCGGGGUAACGGCCCACCAAGGCAACGAUCAGUAGGGGUUCUGAGAGGAAGGUCCCCCACAUGGGAACUGAGACCCGGUCCAAACUCCUACGGGAGGCAGUAGUGAGGAAUAUUGGUCAAUGGACGAGAGCCUGAUCCAGCCAAGUAGCGUGCAGGAUGACGGCCCUAUGGGUUGUAAACUGCUUUUAUAAGGGAAUAAAGUGGGUCUCGUGAGACUUUUUGCAUGUACCUUAUAAAUAAGGACCGGCUAAUUCCGUG